Molecule: long non-coding RNA, 2327 nt
Organism: Panicum virgatum (switchgrass)
Lineage: Eukaryota; Viridiplantae; Streptophyta; Magnoliopsida; Poales; Poaceae
Exons: 2
Source: RefSeq, a predicted model, not a curated record
CAUCUGGCUUCUCCUUUUAUAGAUGGGAGGAGCCUUCUGGCUUAAGGAAUCGCCUGGACACCCGGUGUCUUCAAUUAUCCUCCUUUACUAUUGCCUGGACAGCUGGACGGUGGUGCUGCCUUCAAUAAUUGUCCUGGCUGCAGUAGAACUCACUCUUCAGGACGGCGGUGCUGGCUUCAAUAAUUGUCCUGCCUACAGUAGGACUCACUGUUGAAAUUACUAUUUAUUCCUUUUGCCUUGUCCACUUUCUUCACGUGAUACUCUCUGGAUAUAUUCGAAAAUAUAUUUGGUGUGUAUUGUCUUCCAUGCCCGAAUGAUUGAUGUCGCAGACAUCAAGCAAACACUCUGGCAUGCUUAUCCCACGGCGGAUUUGUUGAUAACUCCUUAUCAACACUGGCAGCAUCCUUAUAUGUGGGUAUUCUUGAAGGUCCAUCUUCUCUUAUAUUUAUUCCUGGCAAGUUUGUCUUUACCUCAUUUGCCGUUCUGUAUUUAUGAAUAUAUUCUUUGGCUGCAGGCUCUAGGAAAUAAUUUAUUCCUAAAAUAUUUGUUGCAUAUGAUAGGGCUUGAUCAAUAUCUAGAUAUUUUUUCCAUGAUAUUCCUCCAUCUUUUUCUCUUUCUAUUUGCUGAGCUAUAACUUCUUCAAAUGUUACAUAUAUUCCCGGUGUCUUUCCCCUAUAUAUGCCAUAUAUGGGUUUCUUUUCUAUAUUGCUCGAUAGAUCUUUUGGCUGUAUCUUCCCAUUGAUCAUAUGAAAAUAUUCUGCUAAACUAUUUAAUAUUGCAAGCAUAUAACCUCUAUCAUCUCUCUUAUUAUUAUAUUGGAACCAAAAAUUAUCUAAAAUGCAUUCUUGUAUUUCAUCUAAGACAAUAUGGUCUUUAGGCUUAAAUUUAUAAGUAUUUGGUGGAAAGAUUCUCAAUCUGUUUUCAGUUCCAAAGCUGAAACUUUCACCACCACUAGGACUCAGUCCUCUCUUCAUUCCUGUAAAAUAGAUGAUCGUGAAAAUAUAUCAGACAAGAUAUUAUCUUUACCUUUUAUAUGCUCGAAUAUUACUUUAUAACCAUUUCCUGUAAUGAUAUCUUCAAAUAAAUCCCAUCUCCUAGUUGAACUUUUCUUACUAUUGACUUUAUUAUAAUAUAUACAUAUAGCUUCACAGUUUGUCCUUACUGUGAACUCUUUAAAUCCUAAAUAUAAUCUAAAAGCAUUCAUUGCAUUUAAUACAGCUAAUAUUUCUCUAUCAGUGUUAUUUAUAGCCUUUAACUUAUAUUUUCUUGAAGCGUACCUACAUAUUUUUUCUUCUAUUUUUGGAGAAUACUUGUUCGGCUUUUGUUUUAUUAUAGCUCCCCAUCCUAUUUCAGAUGCAUCUGUCUCUAUAAUAAAAUAAUAAUCAUCUAAAGGUAAUUCUAAAGGUUUUAAUUCUUCGACUUUUUCUUUUAUAAUUCUUACUAACCUUAUAUUCUCAGAAUUAAAAUGCUUCUGUCCAUUUUUUCUUAACUUUGCAUACAAUAGUCCAGCCAAUUUGGCUAAGUUUUCAAUAUAAUUUCUAGCAUAAUUUACUAUUCCUAAAAAUUGCUGCAAUGUUUUCUUAUCAUUCAUAACAUCAGGAAAUUGUAAAAUUUUCUUUGCAAUAUGAUCUUGUAAGUAAAUUUUUCCUUCCCCAAUUUCAUGACCUAAAAAAAUUAUAUUUUCUUUGCAUAUUUCCAUUUUCUUUUUAGAAAGUAUUAAUCCAUGCUGCUCUACCUUUCUAAAAAAUGUUUCUAAAUGAGCUAUAUGUUCUUUAUAGGAUUUUAAAAAGAUUAAUAUAUCAUCAAUGUAAACCAAUAUAAAUUCUUGAUUUUCAUUAAAGAUAUUUUGCAUUUUUCUUUGAAAUAAUACAGGUGCAUUCUUUAAUCCUAAAGGCAUUACUAGCCACUCAAAAUGACCUUGAGGACACGUAAAAACUGUCCAUUCUAUUGAUUCUUCUGCCAUAUUUACUUGCCAAAACCCAGCUUUUAAAUCAAACUUUGAGAAAUAUUUACUUCCUUGUAUUCUAUUUAUCCAUUCUUGCUUAUUUGGAAUAUUAUAACCAUCAUCUAUAGUAUUAUCAUUUAAUCUUUUAUAAUUAAUGACCAUUCUUAAUUUUCCUCUAACUAUUUCUGCAUGAUUUCUUACUAUAAAUGCAGCUGACCUACGAGGACUCCUACUUUCUCUUAUGGCACCUAAUUUUAGUAGUUCUUCAAUAUGCAUCUUAAACUCUUCUAUGUCCUUAGGUGUAGCUUCUAUAGGCCUUGUCUUAAUUAUAUAGUUGGGGUUUAUAAUAUUAAUUUUACAUACUAUACCAUUUUUAUCCCAA